GACGUACAUAGAUAGGUAUACGUUUAGGAGGGGCUUGCGCACAUAUUAGUUAGUUGGUAGGGUAAUGGCCUACCAAGACGAUGAUGUGUAGCUGGACUGAGAGGUUGAACAGCCACAUUGGGACUGAGACACGGCCCAAACUCCUACGGGAGGCAGCAGUAGGGAAUUUUCGGCAAUGGAGGAAACUCUGACCGAGCAACGCCGCGUGAACGACGAAGUACUUUGGUAUGUAAAGUUCUUUUAUCAAGGAAGAAAAGCAAGUGGUGAACCAUUUGUUUGCCGGUACUUGAUGAAUAAGCCCCGGCUAAUUAUGUGCCAGCAGCCGCGGUAAGACAUAAGGGGCAAGUGUUAUCCGGAAUUAUUGGGCGUAAAGGGUGCGUAGGCGGUCUAGUAAGUCAGUGGUGUAAUGGCAACGCUCAACGUUGUCCGGCUAUUGAAACUGCUAAACUUGAGUUAGAUAGAGGCGAGUGGAAUUCCAUGUGUAGCGGUAAAAUGCGUAAAUAUAUGGAGGAACACCAGAGGCGUAGGCGGCUCGCUGGGUCUUAACUGACGCUGAGGCACGAAAGCGUGGGGAGCAAACAGGAUUAGAUACCCUGGUAGUCCACGCCGUAAACGAUGAGUACUAAGUGUCGGGUUAAACCGGUACUGAAGUUAACACAUUAAGUACUCCGCCUGAGUAGUACGUACGCAAGUAUGAAACUUAAAGGAAUUGACGGGACUCCGCACAAGCGGUGGAUCAUGUUGUUUAAUUCGAAGAUACCCGAACCACCUUACCAGGUCUUGACAUGUUAUUGCUAAACGAUAACAAUAUCUUGUAGGUUAUCAGAAACACAGGUGGUGCAUGGUUGGCG
Molecule: ribosomal RNA, 851 nt
Filed under: Candidatus Phytoplasma citri
Lineage: Bacteria; Bacillati; Mycoplasmatota; Mollicutes; Acholeplasmatales; Acholeplasmataceae
Also listed under: 1 other name
Description: bacterial SSU rRNA
Rfam family: Bacterial small subunit ribosomal RNA
Source: RNAcentral